GAUGAAGAACGUAGCGAAAUGCGAUACGUAAUGUGAAUUGCAGAUUUCAGUGAAUCAUCGAAUCUUUGAACGCACAUUGCGCCCCUUGGUAUUCCGAGGGGCAUGCCUGUUCGAGCGUCAUUACACCACUCAAGCACUGCUUGGUAUUGGGCACUCGUCCGUCGAAAGACGGGCGUGCCUCGAAGACCUCGGCGGGGUUUCUCCAACUUCGGGCGUAGUAGAGUUAAAUCAAAACGUCUUAUAAGCUUGGUGAGAUCUCAUUGCCGUUAAACCUUUUUUUUUCAGGUUGACCUCGGAUCAGGUAGGGAUACCCGCUGAACUUAAGCAUAUCAAUAAGCGGAGGA
This 344-nucleotide unclassified non-coding RNA is filed under the name soil metagenome. Its description in RNAcentral is "partial contains 5.8S ribosomal RNA, internal transcribed spacer 2, and large subunit ribosomal RNA". The stretch from base 1 to 120 matches the Rfam family "5.8S ribosomal RNA", at positions 35 to 154 of the family's 154-position model. The record is from RNAcentral.